CCUGGGCCCCUGCAGCGGAGCACAUGAACUUAACCGCUUGGCCACGGAGCCGGCCCCCAAAUACAUUUUCUGAAGUGCAGUUUAACAAUGUGUUGAUAACCUUCUACACCCUCUCUACUCCAAAGUAAUUUGGAAUCUUUUUCUAAGUAUCAGCUUGAAUAAUAUAGGUUAAUUGCAAGGCAAAAUAUUUAUUUUCCUUUCUAUCUUUUAUUUUUCAUACACUAAAGUACUACUGAGAGUGUAGAACAUUCUCUGGCAUCUCAGAAACAGAAUCAGUUACCUAAUGUAUCACCUGAGUCCUCGUGGAGAGAUCAUCCCACAUGCCAUGGUGGAAUACCACACAGGAAAUGUGUAUUUGAAGACUGAAAUUGGAGGACGUGUAUCAUUGCAAAAAGUAUUUCAGUAACUGAUAUUUUUGCUGCACAUUAUUUAUUAUUAUUAUUAAUUUGACUCUAUGAUACUAUAUAUUUACAAGCUUUGACCCAGAAAAAUCAAAGUCUAGAAGCAAGUAUAAAUCCAUGCACUUUUUUGUUGUAAAAAUCCACAAGAUACAGCCCCAGUUGCUGUCAGUUUUAAAUUCACUUAAGAAUUCUCUCUUUGGAUUUCUGACCAAAAAUGCUUCCCCUGAGCAUUUCCGUUGUUCCAUUUUGUAAGAAGAGAACACAGUCACUCAUGGCUACAGCACUCUGUAAUAUGAUAUUGUUUCAUAUUUCCUUAGCUAAGGUUUACUUGAUUAAGCUUAUGAAGAAUCACACAGAGCAAUAUCAAAUGCAACAUAUCUCAACGUAGCUUUUCAUGCCCCCUAAGUUCUCAUCAUGUGCCAACAUCUAUCUAUUAGUGAGUUUCUACAUUGUAAUUUUACAUAUCCAGCUGCAAAUGAAAAUCUUAUUUUUGCUACACCACGGCCUUUUGAUACUCAAUGAUAAUUAAAUCACAAAAUAUUAUGUCACUUAUGAGAAAAUAUAGCUGUUUCCAAGCGAGAGAAUAGCUAGAAAUAGAGGAUAUCAGUAUUUUUUCAAGGUCCACUGGUGAUUCCAAUGUUCAAUCUGGAGAAGCACUUAGGUGAAACCUUAACUCAGGUGUUCCUGCUUAGUAAAGGUUCUGGAGACUGCUGUCAUCUGCUGAGCUUUCUAGAUGGUCUAUACUGCUCAUUCUACAAGUAGCACCUAGAUUUCAUCAUCCUGAGGCCUCCAAAGGUUGCUAAAUUCCCAACACUGUGUGCUAGCUAGCAAGGCCUGAAUUUCCUGAUCUAGCAUAGUCAGGAUUUCUGAGGACACCCGUUCACCUAUAAUUUGAGUAAGGCCUUCCCUGUGCUUUUUGCUGAAGCCUGUAUGGUUCCUGUGCAAUUAUUGAAGCCACCUAAUGCUCAUUUCAGUAAAAGUAGCAGAACCGAACCACCAUAAAUAUUGUGGGAACAGGAGAUUUAUGUUCAGAUGUCAUGAAAAUUCCUCUUUUUACUAAUUUUACUAAUUUAAUAAUUCUGAAACCAAACUGAGAAGAAGAUUUGGGCAAUGUAGUUCCCAGCCAUAACCAAGUUAACAACAAGAUCCCAAACACUUCAACCCUUUUCAACUUGCCACUCAUACACAUUUCAUUUUAUCAUAUUUAACUUUCAAAAAAGACAGCAGAAAAGUAUGCUUAUUUUUUCAACAGAUGUAUACAACUUAAAGAAAAAGAGUAUACUCAAAGUUUCCUAUGUCAUUUUAUUCAUAUGGGUGACUUAGGAUUCUUACAGCCAAGUCACAUACAACCUUUGAUAUCCUACAGCUUGCUAAAAUGUCGAGAUAGAAGGUGAACCCUUCUUACUAUAUCUUGUGUUAGGAAGUAGGCGAAUGGGAGAGGAGGGGAAUAUUGGUUAAUAUAUUUACAAAUAUAUUCACAUCAAAGCAAAAGAAAAAAAUACUCAUAAGUCCUGCAGCUUUAGUUUCAGCUCCUGGUCACACGAUCAUACAUGGCACAUAUAACUGCCUUUUUUCCACAACCUACUCCAUGUUCUCUUUAACUUCAGCAAACAUCUAGGUUGUUUUGAUUUCUUGUCUUAUGAAGUGGCCAAAAACUUUAUCUUCAAGUAUGAAUAUCAUUAGUAGUUCUUUCUAUUUGACACUGUUAUAGAAUUUUAUUAAAUUUUAAAUAAUGGAUAUGAGACUUCUAAAAGGUGCCCCAGAGUCUCUCCUGCAUUCCAGGAACACUCCCCACUACACUCAUUGUGUAGCAGCAAUCAAAUGUUUCCUUCAUAUUCAAGAAAAAUCAUGCAAACAGUAGAGAAAUCCUUUUUUGCUUAUUGGUUAAGUAGCAUGAAGUUCUCAAAGUGAACAGGUAGCAGUCUUGGCAUCUGGUUCAAUGGAAUCAUUUUUGUGUUCCUUGUAGGAAGAAUUACCUCCAUCUAUCUGUCUAUCUAUCUAUCUAUCUAUCUAUCCAUCUCUGUUUCUCUCUCUUUCUUUUUUUAGGAACAAAGACCAGCAAACCUUAAAUUGUGAGGAUGGGAAGCAAAAUUUUUGUUAGUGAACCAUUAAGAAGAAUAGUGAGAAAUGCUACCUCCUUUUCCACGUUUUGAUUCCCAGACUCAAAAUCCUGGCUAUUGGGGAAAAAAGCAUCAUAGAUAUAACAGCAGUUUAAAGCACAUGCUGCACUCUGGAGAACAUGAUCCGAGCCCCAGAAAGUGUUGGCUUAACUGGUGGCAAAAUGAAGCCUUCAACAAACCUGUAAAGUUUUCAACAAAGUCAUGUGCUUUAGGAUGAUGGGGAAUGUUGUAAGACUAAAGAGUUUUUAAGCAUAAGCAAAUUGUCACGUUUCCUUUGCUGUAAAAUGAGCCACUUGGUUUGAAGCAAUGUUAUGUGACAGAAUAUGAUGAUGAAUAAAGAAUUCUAUAAAUCCAAAGACAGUAGUUUUGACAAAAGAAUUUUGGUCAAAAAUGAUAAAUCCAUAUUGAGAGUAACUCAUAUUCUAGUAAGAAUAAAGUACUGAUUCUUCCAGAUGAAUGAAAUCAAAUGUAAUCAAUUUGUGAGAUGCUGGCUGGACCCUCAGGGAACGUGCCAUGUAUGUCUGAUGAUUGUAUUCACUCUUGGCACAUUUGGCGCUGGAGAGUGGCUGUGGCCACAUCAGCCUUGGACUCUUCUUUGUUUGGUCAAGAGACUCCUCCGUGGGCACCAGACCACUCCACAAAUAGUUUCUGACGGUUAAAGCACUGAAUCAGCUUGUUGAGACAACAUGGAUGUGGCCACAUAUUAGAAGAACCACAUAAAACUCAAGGGCACUCUUAAUUAUCCAUUACAAUUGUUGAAGUUAAAAGCCACUGAAUGUCUUAGAUUUUCUAGCUUCUAUUUUAAAAUGCCUUUGUGAGAAAAUAUUUCGGAAUGGAAGUAAAACUGAAGAAGAACUCCUGCUUUUCAAGAUGGCAUUUGUGGCACACUGUGACUUCUUACUAGUUAUGAAGCUGGAAAAAAACCUAUGAACAAUAUAUUUUUUUGAGACCCAGUGUUUAACUUCCAGGGACCAGACACAGAGACGGUUAUAAAAUCCAGCUCAGUCAGAAGGCAAUGCUGAACCCCCCUGCAGAGACAGUUGCAUGCAACAAAGAAAACAGUAGUUCUGGAACAGGAUAUAACAGCAUUUCCGCAGUAUUGAAAAAAACAACAAGAAUCAUGUCAGAAGAUGAGGGUUAUGUGGACCAAUUAAUUUAAGGGGUGCAGCAUCAUGACUGUCCUCCUUUCCUACAGCUACAUCAUAAUUACCAUCCUUAGAAUGAACUCAGCUGAGGGGAGAUGCAAAGCCUUCUCUACGUGAGCCUCCCACUUAACUGCUGUUGCUAUAUUUUACGGCACACUCCUGUUCAUGUAUUUCCGACCCAGCUCCAGUUACUCCAUGGACACAGACAAAAUGGCCUCUGUUUUCUACACAGUUGUGAUCCCAAUGUUAAACCCACUGAUCUAUAGCUUAAGGAAUAAGGAUGUGAAAGGUGCCCUGAAAAAAGCAAUUGACACUAUGUUUUGCUCUGUGUGAAACCAUGUUUUCACCCAAAUGUAUUUGUUUAAUAAUUCUGAAAGCUAAAGUUCAGGUACUUUGACAUAGAUUCCUGUAGUGCACCAAUGCAUCUUUUAGAUAUUUCCCGCUACUUGUUUUUGUGCUUAAAUUAACGGUAGGGAGCAGUCAUUUCUGAUCUGAAUCUUCUCUCCAGGCUAAGGAAGAGUAGUAAUAGUUUCAUUAUCCUGUUUUUCAAAGAUGAUCUUCUUAUACUUCUCUUCUCUGCUCAAGAGUAUGACUUUGUGAGAUAUCAUGGGCAGAGAAACUUCUCCCCACAUGUCAAUUCAACUUGCCCUCCUAAGUUUCCAUUUUUAUUAAACAGGGAGUUUAGUAAAUUUGCUCAUCCAGAAUGGAGGGUUAGAGGGUUAAAAUACUUUUGUUUAUAUCUUUCCAAAGUACUUAUAUCAUUCUGUAAAUAUUCCUUCCUAACGCUUAGAUGUAUGAAAGUAGUCCAUAAAUAAAAAAGGAUAAAAAAAAUCUCCUGUCCUAAGUCAAAUUUUCAUAAAUGCAAGGCUCUGUCUUCUCUUGUUCGCCAAUAUUUCUACUUUGCCAUUUGCAAUGCUUUGCUCCAGGAAGUCAUUCAAAAACAUCUCUUGAAUAAUGAAUGAAAGUCCUCUGUAAGAUUGAUGCAAAAAGGAGCCUUUGUAAAUUCACAAAUUAAAAGAGCUCCCUUUAUUUAUUUAUUCUUAUUCUCAUAGGCUCAUCUUAGGCAAAAUCUGUAUGUGUUUCUCGUCUUUUGGCCUAACCUGAACAAGUAUCAGAGACAGGGAUCAUUUGACGUAGAGAACUUCUUGGAUUCUCUCUUCCUCAUCAUUCUGUCUCGAUUAUUAUUAUUAGCAGACAUCCCCAGGAUCAGCAGCUGUAGAUUCAUAUUGCAACUCAUGGACUUUACAUCAGGUUGUGGAUUUCCCUUCUUGCCCUCACUCUAGAGAACAGAUGCGGUGCUAUUGACAACUGUACGGAAACUGCAUGAAUGGAAUUUGGGGGUAAAGGAUUUGGACCUUCUCAAAGGCCACUGGAAAAGAGAACUCUAUCUCCCCUGAUGUGUUCAUAGCAUUAUACUGGUUCAAAUAAAAAGUUUUAGAAAACCUGAAAGGCCAAAUUGAUACAGUUUAAGUUGUAAAGUAAUAGUGAUUAACAAAAAUAUAUGUUCAAUGGAAAAAAAGAAAAAUAAGUAGUAUUUAAUUUAAUAUUCCAUAUGUAAUGACUUAUAUUGGCUCUCUGUGCCUCUGUGAAAUAAACUGAAAGUGUAAUCUAAACACA
Molecule: non-coding RNA, 5283 nt
Organism: Equus caballus (horse)
Lineage: Eukaryota; Metazoa; Chordata; Mammalia; Perissodactyla; Equidae
Source: RefSeq, a predicted model, not a curated record